This is a long non-coding RNA of Sinocyclocheilus grahami, 309 nucleotides long. RefSeq lists it as uncharacterized. The record is from RefSeq and is a predicted model, not a curated record. Lineage: Eukaryota; Metazoa; Chordata; Actinopteri; Cypriniformes; Cyprinidae. The transcript has 3 exons.
CCAAACAACAAACCUGUCUCCAGAAACCAAACUGCCUGCUUGAAGAUGAACACGGAUGACGCAAUAAAAGUCUCCAUUUACAACAAAGGCCAUGAGGAAGAACUCUAUCAUGCUCACAGAGAAUAGAGCUCAGUGCUGCUAACUGGGAGAGCAGCUGGAAAACUGGAGGAGAACAGUUGAACACCUAUUAAUACAGACGACUGUAUUAUUUUUCUGCAAGAACCACAACAAGCAAAGACAAUGAUGAGCACUCUGAGCAAACAACAGUCAGACGCUUGAUUAUGCACUGCACUUUACCGAGUUCUUCAA